This 384-nucleotide long non-coding RNA is filed under the name Elaeis guineensis (African oil palm). Its description in RNAcentral is "long non-coding RNA (EGUI_LNC038938)". Lineage: Eukaryota; Viridiplantae; Streptophyta; Magnoliopsida; Arecales; Arecaceae. The record is from RNAcentral.
UAAUAAAGGAUUGAUUUAAGUAUUGAAAGAAGUAUCUUAGGAUUUCAACUAAUUUCUUGUUAGACAGUUAGUACCCUUCUAAUAUGCAAAUAUUUAAUAUAUAACCAAUCAAGAUAUAGCCUAUCUGGAGAGAGCACGAUGCACAUCCAUUGGAUCACGGCCUGUUCCUUUGGAGUAUAAGCUAAUCAAGGUUGUGUAUAUAAAAGGAAUCGUAUUUAGAAAUAGACUAUCUCAAGAGCAAGAGCAUGAACCGUAUUCUUAGGUCACAGCUUGUCCCAAGAGUCAUAGGCUAUUCUAAACUAUGAUCUCAUACAAAGUAAAUAAAAAACAUCUAUAGAUAAGAAGAAAUAAAAUAAGUCUUUUAUUGCAUAUAAAGAAGAAAGU